GCCGAUUCCUCUCGAAGGGAGCCCGGAAAGGAACUAGAUCCUUCCGAGUCUCCUCCGUUAAUUUUUCGUAUAACGACGAACCGCGUGGAUGAUCCGACAGAAAACGCGCACUUAGGGAAGCCCGAUGAGACUGCUCGAGGAUCUCCGUCAAGAGAGAUAGGCUUCCUCGAUCGAGUUUCAUAGGCUGACGCGGGGUUUGUUUAGCAUCCUUAUGAUGGUUCGUUAUCGGCCCUCUCGUCUCGAGGGCUGAUAUCACGGGGUUAUCGUACAGAGGAUGUCACAAGACUAGUCUAUGCAAGCGCAAGACCAAGACCAUGGUGGGCCCGGUCUUGUUCUUGAUCUUGCUUUUUCUGAGACUGAGAUCAAGAUGCAUUGAAAUCAUCGUCUAGUUUGUAAUGAGAUAACCGAAACGCUGAAAGUAGACUGCUCUUUUAAAUUUUUAUCGUCUCGAGCUGUUAUUAGGAUAGAGUAUAGCGUAGUACAGUGUAUCGAUACUUGUUGGAAAUUAACUCGUAACGAUACUCGGUUAUCACUCGUUUUCGUGUCCCACUCGGCGAAAGGGCCGAUGCGAAUCGAGGUUAAUUGAAUCGAAUGGCUGUUUGGGAAUCGUCGCGAGCUUCUACUAUCGCAAACGAAGUAUAGGCAACUGUAUUAAUAGCUUACGAAGAAACGCCCUCUCGAGGGUAAUUAUUGGUGAACACGCGCCCGAGCUUUGCAAGCUGCACAACAGGCCAUUCCCUCGCUGGCGGAAAUAGAUUUAUUGUCACCUCUGAAAACGGUUUGUUUUUACCCGCGAAUGCCAUCACGGCAGUUCUGGGACUCCUCCAGAUAAGAAUUGAAUCGAUGACACUUUUCAAUCUCUUUUACAUGCCUUUUCCAUUUCCUUGCAGGCAAGGAUUUGUCUAAACGAAAAUUCGCCGACCAUAACAAAAAGGAAAAUAUUCCACCAAUGAAGUAUAUCGUUAAUCCGGGGAACAAUUAUUUCACUCGAACACGAAGAAAUUCAUAAUUCAGGAUUCACGUUUGCGGAUUUACCGAAUCCGAAGUAUAGGAAGAACAGGAAACGAUGGAAUUUGCCGGAAUUCCUUGCCACGGGCUGUCAGAGUCGCCGAGAGCACUGAUCGCAGAGAUAUAUAUACAUCGACCUGAGUGUGACCCACACGUGGCAUUGACGAGACAUACAUCAGAGGUCGGGACCGAACCAACGAGAUUAACCUUAAUAUCAAAAGCUUACCUACACGUAGGAAACCUUAGAGUAUCAUUUCAUGCAGUGAAGUUUAGAAAAAUCUAUACGGUGCAUUUUACACCCUGGAAGGACACAACGAGAAUGUAUGCUCGUUUAUCUCAAGCAAUAAAACUCAAGGCAAGUGUCGAAUAAAACGAUCCGCAUUUUAUUAUUGCCGGUAUAGAUGUGUACAACACAAGUGCAGUUCAUGGGUCAUUAUCGCGCUCUGUCGUGCGAUUGGUAAGUGAUAACUAGAAUUCUAGCUCACGUCGGAGAUCUCUGGCAAGAAAUGUGCAUCGUGCUGCACUAGCGAUAGGGAAAUAAAAAUAAAGAUGCCACGUCAGGCCGAGCGUGACCAUCUCCGCUUCCGGAUUGAAAUGUGCUUACAGAGAUAGAAGGAUCGGCUGCAUUGGGAGGGCCCGAGACGUGGACCUUCGGAACGCCGAAGCCUUCAACCUGACCUUGACCGUGGCCAUGAAGAGGACCAUGUGCGCUGCCAUGGUGUCCUUGGGCCGUCGUGGAAUCAUCGCUGUCACUGCUGGGAACCUGCUCCGACCCUACUCCUCCACGGGGCCUGAAAAAGAGGACGCGAUAAUCCCAAUGGAUGUCCCCUGGAUCGGCGCAUGAUCUCGCGCAUGCCGCACCUGUGGUGAGUUGUGUCGUAGCUGGCCGUCCAGUAGAGGGGCGCCACUGUCCCGUCUCGACGAUCACAGGGAUGGCAUUCAAACUAGCCCCGAGUACCGCGAGAUACCACCCGGGUCCUCAUUCCCACACGUCCCGCUCCACGAUAAGGAGCCCACCCGACUUCCCGCGCGAUUUCCUUGCCGCAAAUCCUGCGCAGUCAAUCGAUAGACCUCGGAAGCUGCUCUCGAGAUGCCGUAAGCUCCAAUCGGCCCGGAUGCCCAAGUGAUGAAUCUUCCUCUCCCCGUCUCUUUAAACCGUCCCUGCAGCUUCCUUAUAUUUCAGGAUCCUCCCCCCUGGACUCGGGACCUCGAGAGAUUCCAAGAUUCUGAGUCGGCUUCGAUCUCGAAAUACCUCCGGUAACUGGAACGACGUCUUCGACGGUUUCUCCGAAGAGCACUCUUUUGGAAUCUUCCUCGUGGGCGAAAAAAAAUCCCCAGCAAUUGGGUCGAGAUGUCAACCUCGAGAGACCGUACCGAGAUGCAGCCGCCAGGUGGUGGUCGGCGACCUGCGGCUGGACCUCGCGGUUCCGCUGCCGAUGGUGGUACUGCUGGGGCUCAGCCUGCUGCUCCUGCUCCUGCUCCUACUCCUCUCGAGGCGUGUUUCGAAGGCUCCUUUCUCUUCCUGCCUCCGACACUCCUCCCGACGAGGUCACGCGGUUUCUCACGGGGUCUUCCGGAGGUACCCUCCCAGGCUCACCCCUUUUACUUGCGGAAAAUACGGCAAUGCGACGCGCGACAACGCGGUGCGGCCUACGUCUCCCGGUGCGCUCCUCUUCCCGUCUCUCGCGGACGGCGCUCUCGCCAUCCGCGCACCCUCUCUCGGCCAAUCGCGUCUGCGCCCUGCCUCUGGAGCCGGCGAGCUCACCUAUUGACCGACUCCGACUCCGAGCCGAUCCGCGUCGAUCCCGACGAGAGACUCGCGCAUACUCCGGCACGCUCCGGCGCACUCGAUGAGCUUAACCUCCACGCCUCCUGCCCGAUCAGCUGAUCACCCUCUCCGGAUGCGCGCUUGAAUGGAGCCCCAGCAGGACUUUCUUUAAAAAUGUCACGUUUCGAAAAUAUCUUUCAUUUAUACGACAUUCCAUUAUCAUAAUUAUAAGUCGAAUUUUCUAUAGAUAAAUGUUCUAACGAGGUGUCCGUUCUCCUGCAGGAAUUAAGGCAGGGGCAGAACGCGGCGAUCAGCUGAUCGGCCUUAUUGGACGCGCACCUGAAUGGAGGCUUAGCAGGCCGUCACUUUAAGAGAUUUCUUAAAAACUUCCUAUUUUUAACGUUCCCAUGAUUCACGACUGUCUAUCCUCAGAAUUAAAGUUGGAAUUUCCUAAAGAGGUGUCCGUUGUCCCGCUGAAAUUGAGGCAGCGAUUUAAUGCGGCGAUCAGCUGAUCGCCCGACCUUGAAUGGAGAUGCCGAGGAAGGAACGACACGUGUACUUGCACGUGCACGUAGUAGAGACGUUUAUCCGCGAUAGAGAUAUCUAGCUUGAAUUAAUCUUGGAAAUUCGAAGCCAUUAUGAGUUUUCCCGCGAUAUUUCCCCGUGGAGGACACGCUUUGCCCUGCAGGUGAGACGGCAGGUUCCGCUUGAUGCCGGUGGGUCCAAUCUUCGUUGAUGCAGGAUGCACGAGAAUAACGGACUUAAUUGAUGAAGUCAUGGCAGAAAUUACUCCUCAGGGUUCGGCAGCACGUGCUGCCGAGGGUACCCGAUGAAUGGCACUUAUUAAAACCUAUCUUCUUUUCCUU
This 3642-nucleotide long non-coding RNA is filed under the name Orussus abietinus. RNAcentral describes it as "uncharacterized LOC105700487, transcript variant X2". Lineage: Eukaryota; Metazoa; Arthropoda; Insecta; Hymenoptera; Orussidae. The record is from RNAcentral.